This 362-nucleotide transfer RNA is filed under the name uncultured Microcystis sp. RNAcentral's name for it is "partial 16S-23S ribosomal RNA intergenic spacer". The stretch from base 136 to 209 matches the Rfam family "tRNA". The record is from RNAcentral. Lineage: Bacteria; Bacillati; Cyanobacteriota; Cyanophyceae; Chroococcales; Microcystaceae.
AAAGGGAGACCUAAUUCAGGUAAGAGACGAAAAAAAAGUAGUCGCUACCAAGAAUCAAUCCCAAAAGGUCGGAGCGAGGCGAAAUUGGCUUUCAAACUAGGUUCUGGGUUCAAACAAGACCUGAAUCAGGAACAAGGGCUAUUAGCUCAGGUGGUUAGAGCGCACCCCUGAUAAGGGUGAGGUCCCUGGUUCGAGUCCAGGAUGGCCCACCUGCACAGGUGGCAAAAACAAGAGAAGCGAGGAAUCAGCACCUUAUCUUACUGACAUAGUAAGAGAGAAUGCUGGCUCUGAGUAAAGAGUCCAGAGGAACCUUGAAAACUGCAUAGAGCUAGGUGAAAAAGCCAAAAAAAGAAGACCGCAAG